RNAcentral lists this ribosomal RNA (450 nucleotides) under uncultured Glomeromycotina. Its description in RNAcentral is "SSU rRNA". It matches the Rfam family "Eukaryotic small subunit ribosomal RNA", at positions 569 to 1026 of the family's 1831-position model. Lineage: Eukaryota; Fungi; Glomeromycota. The record is from RNAcentral.
AGCAGCCGCGGUAAUUCCAGCUCCAAUAGCGUAUAUUAAAGUUGUUGCAGUUAAAAGCUCGUAGUUGAAUUUCGGGAUCAAUUUAUUGGUCGUGCAAUAGUACGUACUGGUAUUAUUGGUUCCUACCUUCUGAUGAACCAUGAUGUCAUUAAUUUGGUGUUAUGGGGAAUCAGGACUGUUACUUUGAAAAAUUAGAGUGUUUAAAGCAGGCUCACGCUUGAAUACAUUAGCAUGGAAUAAUGAAAUAGGACGUUUGAUUCUAUUUUGUUGGUUUCUAGGAUCGACGUAAUGAUUAAUAGGGAUAGUUGGGGGCAUUAGUAUUCAAUUGUCAGAGGUGAAAUUCUUGGAUUUAUUGAAGACUAACUACUGCGAAAGCAUUUGCCAAGGAUGUUUUCAUUAAUCAAGAACGAAAGUUAGGGGAUCGAAGACGAUCAGAUACCGUCGUAGUCU